UGUUGCAGUUAAAAAGCUCGUAGUUGGAUUUCUGGCAGGAUGACUUCGCCCUCUGUUGAGUGCGCGAAGAUAUCUUACCAUCCUUCUGUUAAAGUUAGACUUCUUCACCGAAGUCUUUCCAGCUCAGAUAUUUUACCUUGAGAAAAUUAGAGUGUUUCAGGCAGGCUCGCGCCGGAAUACAUUAGCAUGGAAUAAUGGAAUAGGACUUUUACCUCUUCUGUUGGUCAUGGGGUUUGAGUAAUGGUUAAUAGGGAUAGUUGGGGGCAUUAGUACUUCACUGUCAGAGGUGAAAUUCUCGGAUUUGUGAAAGACUAACUUAUGCGAAAGCAUUUGCCAAGGAUGUUUUCAUUAAUCAAGAACGAAAGUUAGGGGAUCAAAGACGAUCAGAUACCGUCCUAGUCUUAACCAUAAACUAUGCCGACUCGGGAUUGG
This 432-nucleotide ribosomal RNA is filed under the name uncultured marine eukaryote. RNAcentral describes it as "SSU rRNA". It matches the Rfam family "Eukaryotic small subunit ribosomal RNA", at positions 611 to 1056 of the family's 1831-position model. The record is from RNAcentral.